AGUGAACGCUGGCGGUAGGCCUAACACAUGCCAGUCGAACGGCAGCACAGUAAGAGCUUGCUCUUACGGGUGGCGAGUGGCGGACGGGUGAGGAAUACAUCGGACUCUACUUUUUCGUGGGGGAUAACGUAGGGAAACUUACGCUAAUACCGCAUACGACCUACGGGUGAAAGCAGGGGAUCUUCGGACCUUGCGCGAUUGAAUGAGCCGAUGUCGGAUUAGCUAGUUGGCGGGGUGAAGGCCCACCAAGGCGACGGUCCGUAGCUGGUCUGAGAGGAUGAUCAGCCACACUGGAACUGAGACACGGUCCAGACUCCUACGGGAGGCAGCAGUGGGGAAUAUUGGACAAUGGUCGCAAGCCUGAUCCAGCCAUACCGCGUGGGUGAAGAAGGCCUUCGGGUUGUAAAGCCCUUUUGUUGGGAAAGAAAAGCAGCAGGUUAAUACCCCGCUGUUCUGACGGUACCCAAAGAAUAAGCACCGGCUAACUUCGUG
This 492-nucleotide ribosomal RNA is filed under the name uncultured bacterium. Its description in RNAcentral is "partial 16S ribosomal RNA". It matches the Rfam family "Bacterial small subunit ribosomal RNA", at positions 29 to 507 of the family's 1533-position model. The record is from RNAcentral.